Oncorhynchus keta (chum salmon) is the source of this 458-nucleotide long non-coding RNA. RefSeq lists it as uncharacterized. NCBI's taxonomy places the organism in Eukaryota, Metazoa, Chordata, Actinopteri, Salmoniformes, Salmonidae. The record is from RefSeq and is a predicted model, not a curated record. The transcript is spliced from 3 exons.
GGUCGUUAUAAUGCUGAAAAUACUACCCACUAAGAAGGUCGUUAUAAUGCUGAAAAUACUACCCACUAAGAAGGUCGUUAUAAUGCUGAAAAUACUACCCACUAAGAAGGUCGUUAUAAUGCUGAAAAUACUACCCACUAAGAAGGUCGUUAUAAUGCUGAAAAUACUACCCACUAAGAAGGUCGUUAUAAUGCUGAAAAUACUACCCACUAAGAAGGUCGUUAUAAUGCUGAAAAUACUACCCACUAAGAAGGUCGUUAUAAUGCUGAAAAUACUACCCACUAAGAAGGUCGUUAUAAUGCUGAAAAUACUACCCACUAAGAAGGUCGUUAUAAUGCUGAAAAUACUACCCACUAAGAAGGUCGUUAUAAUGCUGAAAAUACUACCCACUAAGAAGGUCGUUAUAAUGCUGAAAAUACAUGGUAACAAAACAAUCCAUAUAACAUCACUAAAUGUCC